UCGCCGCGGUAAUACCCGCUCUCCGAGUGGUGGGGACGCUUAUUGGGGCCUAAAAGCAUCCGUAGCCGGCUGGAUAAGUCCCCUGUUAAAUCCAGCGAUUCAAUCGUUGGACUGCGGGGGAUACUGUCCAGCUAGGGGGCGGGAGAGGCCGACGGUAUUCCCGGGGUAGGGGUGAAAUCUUAUAAUCCCGGGAGGACCACCAGUGGCGAAGGC
RNAcentral lists this ribosomal RNA (213 nucleotides) under uncultured archaeon. Its description in RNAcentral is "partial 16S ribosomal RNA". It matches the Rfam family "Archaeal small subunit ribosomal RNA", at positions 462 to 673 of the family's 1478-position model. The record is from RNAcentral.